This 2700-nucleotide long non-coding RNA is filed under the name Sorghum bicolor (sorghum). RNAcentral's name for it is "long non-coding RNA (SBIC_LNC000323)". The record is from RNAcentral. Lineage: Eukaryota; Viridiplantae; Streptophyta; Magnoliopsida; Poales; Poaceae.
CGGCGGCGAGGCGGCGAGCGGGCAGCUGGAGAGCAUCCUGAGCGACACCUCCCUGCCGUGGGGCCGGCGGAUGGCGGCGGCGUCGGUGGUGGAGAUGCGCCUGCUCGUGCGCCUCGCGGCCCCCGCCGUGCUCGUCUACAUGAUCAACUACCUCAUGUCCAUGUCCACGCAGAUCUUCUCGGGACACCUCGGCACGCUCGAGCUCGCCGCCGCCUCACUCGGCAACACCGGCAUCCAGGUCUUCGCUUACGGCCUCAUGGUAUGUACUACGCUCGCCACCCCCCGCCCGCCGCCGGUGGCGGCGCUUUUGUUUGUAUUUUUGUGAUGAUUGCUUCAUUUUAUUUAUUUACUAAUACUCGUACUGCUAUAUAUAUAUAUAUAUAUAUAUAUAUAUAUAUAUAUAUAUAUAUAUAUAUAUAUAUAUAUAUAUAUAUAUAUAUAUAUAUAUAUAUAUAUUCAACGGAUGAACGGAGUAGUAGUGGUUUUGGUUUUGGUUUUUUGUUGUCGUCCUCUUCCGAACUGUGCAUGCAUGCCCUGCGUCGUCCUGUCCUGCUGCUGCUGCUGGUCUCCAGCAUAUUCAUCAGUGAUGGUAGUAUCACAUAGAAAUGUUUGUAGCGAUAAUUGUUAAUUAGAUUAAUCAUAGAAUAGUUCGAACGGAGUCCAUGGAUAUAUAUGGAGUAUCCAACUUGUCUUACCUGUCCGACCGGUUUUCCCCUUUCCACGCAUAUAUAUGCGAAUCUAAUCGAUCGAUCUGCUGCCUCCGAUGCGUGCCCCAUGGUCCAUGGAUCACUUUGUAUUUUUUUUUUUUUUUUGAACACCUCAUGGAUCAUUUGAGCGCCAAGUAGGCAGGCAUGCAUGGUAGCUGAGCUGGUAAAAAUGAAAAAUAAUAUAAGUUGUCAUCGUUUUCCAUGCUGUCCAUGGCGGGGCCCGCCACAAGUUACAUGGAUGAAAAAUGUGAUUAGCUUUGUUUUCCCUUUGACAAACAAAGUCCUCAUUACAUGAUGACGCGCACACAGAAGUUACUACUGUCUCUGAAAGUUAUUGUUUAUAAGCCAUUGUUAUGUACUGUAUCGAACCGCCUUGCUUAUUUGGUUUAUAAGCUAUAGCAGAAGCUAAUGUUAGGUGAUUUAUUGGGAGGAAAAACCAGAUUCGGCUGAAAGACUUGAGCCGAUAAAGUCACGGUCCCACAGAUGAUGCCUGGCUUGUUUUUUCUUACACGUACCCUAUAUAUGAAGUACUCCUACAUACUUCUUCGAUACAGUACAUAACGAAUCCAGAAAAAAAGAAACCAACUGUAGCGACCGAUGCUAACCAAUCACUGUGUCAUAUGACUAAGGCCUCGUUCAGUUGGUAAUAUUUUUUGGAUUUUAGUAUUGUAACACUUUCAUUUAUAUUCGGUAAUUAUUGUCCAAUUAUAGACUAACUAGGCUCAAAAGAUUUGUCUUGUAAAUUACAGAUAAACUAUGUAAUUAGUUUUUGUUUUCUUCUAUAUUUAAUACUUCAUGUAUGUUCCAAAAGAUUCGAUGUGAUGAUAAAUCUAGCUUAAAAUUUUCAUCUAGCUGUAUAGAUAUAUAGGUGUGUGGCCAUUCAUGACCACACACAUACUCCUGCUAGCUUCUAGAGAGUAGAGACUACUACUAUGUGUCUAUGUCAUCACGUCUGCGACCAUCUCAAGACCAAAGGCUAUAUAUAUAUAUAGUACAGUAUUUGUAUAUAUUCGACGCACACUCCACAGGAAUGGAAUAGAAUACUCAUAUGAUGGGAUUGGAGUAGAUAGAUAGAUUCGAUUCAAUGCCCGGCCCGACACAGCCACAUGUCGUUGUGAAGCUGGGAAUUGUUCCCAUUUCACAACCACACUUUUUCUUCACUGAUAACUAGUCCUACGCGGAACGCCCGGUCGAAAUGAUAUAUGGUAGGCUGGUAGCUACCGCGCAACGUACGCCACCCACACGUCAAUAGAGAGAGCAGCUGCAUUGCACGUUGCACCUGGCGGGCGAACAAGAUGGCCUUUGCUUCCUCAUCCCUCCUCCUCCUCUUCCUUUCCUGCCCGCUACCGCUUUGCACAUUUAUACGUGUCAUCACGGCGUCCGUUUCUCUGAUGCCGACGUAGUCAUGUACGAGUACACGAGUACGUACCUCGAUAAUCUUGGUUGCAUGGACGACAACACUAGCUUUCAUCAUCUACGUAACGUGUUCGUAUCAAUCACUAGCUCUUCGUACGACCUGUGAUCCAUCAAACACCUACUACUAGUCCAAUUUCUUUUAUUAAUAAUAAUAACAUCUCAAAAGUGCCAUUUUUCUCAAUUUGGAAUGACGAAAUACUACUACAGUCAUCGAUCGAGAGGUAGCUAAUAAGCUAGCUAGUUAUUAACUGUGUUCAACUAUACAUAUAUAACUGCAUUGAAUUGAACGAACAAAGCAAACAACUGAUCAGAACUGACGAGGUGCUCGUCGCCGGUGCGAUGCAAUUGCAAUUUGCAAAUGUGCACAGCUGGGCAUGGGGAGCGCGGUGGAGACGCUCUGCGGGCAAGCCUACGGGGCGCACAAGUACGACAUGCUGGGCAUCUACCUGCAGCGCUCCACGAUCCUCCUCAUGGCGACCGGCGUCCCACUCGCCGUCAUCUACGCCUUCUCCCGCCCGAUCCUCGUCCUCCUCGGCGAGUCCCCGGCGAUCGCGUCCGCCGCCGCCGUCUUCGUGUA